UACGUAGGGGGCAAGCGUUGUCCGGAAUCAUUGGGCGUAAAGCGCGUGUAGGCGGCUUGGUCAGUCAGCUGUGAAAGUCCAGGGCUCAACCCUGGGAUGCCGGUUGAUACUGCCAAGCUCGAGUCCGGAAGAGGAGUGUGGAAUUCCUGGUGUAGCGGUGAAAUGCGCAGAUAUCAGGAGGAACACCAAUGGCGAAGGCAGCACUCUGGGACGUGACUGACGCUGAGACG
RNAcentral lists this ribosomal RNA (230 nucleotides) under uncultured microorganism. Its description in RNAcentral is "partial 16S ribosomal RNA". It matches the Rfam family "Bacterial small subunit ribosomal RNA", at positions 524 to 753 of the family's 1533-position model. The record is from RNAcentral.